RNAcentral lists this ribosomal RNA (441 nucleotides) under uncultured bacterium. RNAcentral describes it as "partial 16S ribosomal RNA". It matches the Rfam family "Bacterial small subunit ribosomal RNA", at positions 338 to 795 of the family's 1533-position model. The record is from RNAcentral.
CCUACGGGUGGCUGCAGUGGGGAAUAUUGCACAAUGGGGGAAACCCUGAUGCAGCAACGCCGCGUGAGUGAAGAAGUAUUUCGGUAUGUAAAGCUCUAUCAGCAGGGAAGAAGAAAGACGGUACCUGACUAAGAAGCCCCGGCUAACUACGUGCCAGCAGCCGCGGUAAUACGACGGGGGCAAGCGUUAUCCGGAUUUACUGGUUGUAAAGGGAGCGUAGACGGUGUGGCAAGUCUGAAGUGAAAGCCCGGGGCUCAACCGCGGAACUGCUUUGGAAACUGGAUAGCUUGAGUACUGGAGAGGCAGGCGGAAUUCCUAGUGUAGCGGUGAAAUGCGUAGAUAUUAGGAAGAACACCGAUGGCGAAGGCGGCCUUCUGGACCGAAACUGACGUGGAGGCUCGAAAGCGUGGGGAGCAAACAGGAUUAGAUACCCUUGUAGUC